RNAcentral lists this ribosomal RNA (405 nucleotides) under uncultured bacterium. Its description in RNAcentral is "bacterial SSU rRNA". It matches the Rfam family "Bacterial small subunit ribosomal RNA", at positions 355 to 776 of the family's 1533-position model. The record is from RNAcentral.
CAGGGAAUCUUGGGCAAUGGGCGAAAGCCUGACCCAGCGACGCCGCGUGGAGGAAGAAGGCUCUCGGGUUGUAAACUCCUUUUCCGAGGGAUGAGUAAGGACAGUACCUCGGGAAUAAGCCCCGGCUAACUACGUGCCAGCAGCCGCGGUAAUACGUAGGGGGCGAGCGUUACCCGGAAUCAUUGGGCGUAAAGAGUGCGUAGGUGGCCAGGUAAGUCCUCGUUGAAAGCUCCCGGCUAAACUGGGAGAGGUGCGGGGAAACUACUUGGCUUGAGGACAGUAGAGGAAGGUAGAAUUCCCGGUGUAGCGGUGAAAUGCGUAGAUAUCGGGAGGAAUACCAGUGGCGAAGGCGGCCUUCUGGGCUGGCCCUGACACUGAGGCACGAGAGCGUGGGGAGCAAACUGG